This 500-nucleotide ribosomal RNA is filed under the name uncultured Glomeromycotina. RNAcentral describes it as "partial small subunit ribosomal RNA". It matches the Rfam family "Eukaryotic small subunit ribosomal RNA", at positions 591 to 1092 of the family's 1831-position model. The record is from RNAcentral. Lineage: Eukaryota; Fungi; Glomeromycota.
CCAAUAGCGUAUAUUAAAGUUGUUGCAGUUAAAAAGCUCGUAGUUGAAUUUCGGGGUCAGUAGGUCGGUCGUGCCACUGGUAUGAACUGGUUUUACUGAUUCCUCCCUCUUGAAGAACUGUAAUGCCAUUAAUUUGGUGUUGCAGGGAAUCAGGACUGUUACUUUGAAAAAAUUAGAGUGUUUAAAGCAGGCUUUAGCUUGAAUACAUUAGCAUGGAAUAAUGAAAUAGGACGUUUGAUCCUAUCUUGUUGGUUUCUAGGAUUGACGUAAUGAUUAAUAGGGAUAGUUGGGGGCAUUAGUAUUCAAUUGUCAGAGGUGAAAUUCUUGGAUUUAUUGAAGACUAACUACUGCGAAAGCAUUUGCCAAGGAUGUUUUCAUUAAUCAAGAACGAAAGUUAGGGGAUCGAAGACGAUCAGAUACCGUCGUAGUCUUAACCAUAAACUAUGCCGACUAGGGAUCGGAUGAUGUUAAUUUUUUAAUGACUCAUUCGGCGCCUUACG